UCCGAUUUACAUCGGCAGUCUCACUAAAGUACCCAACUUAAUGCUGGCAACUAGUGAUAAGGGUUGCGCUCGUUGCGUCACUUAAGACAACAUCUCACGACACGAGCUGACGACAGCCAUGCAGCACCUGUGUCUAGGUUCCCGAAGGCACAGCCUAAUCUCUUAGGCCUUCCUAGCAUGUCAAGAGCAGGUAAGGUUUUUCGCGUUGCAUCGAAUUAAUCCACAUCAUCCACCGCUUGUGCGGGUCCCCGUCAAUUCCUUUGAGUUUUAAUCUUGCGACCGUACUCCCCAGGCGGUCUACUUCAUGCGUUAGCUUCGCUACUGAGAUUGCUCCCAACAGCAAGUAGACAUCGUUUAGGGCGUGGACUAC
Molecule: unclassified non-coding RNA, 370 nt
Filed under: uncultured Gammaproteobacteria bacterium
Lineage: Bacteria; Pseudomonadati; Pseudomonadota; Gammaproteobacteria
Description: contains 16S-23S intergenic spacer region
Source: RNAcentral